Polypterus senegalus (gray bichir) is the source of this 902-nucleotide long non-coding RNA. RefSeq lists it as uncharacterized. The record is from RefSeq and is a predicted model, not a curated record. The transcript is spliced from 6 exons. Lineage: Eukaryota; Metazoa; Chordata; Cladistia; Polypteriformes; Polypteridae.
UUUUUUUUUUUUUUCGCAAUGAAGAGUAUGGUGGUGUGUGGAAUGGUGCCAGGUACCUCAAGUCAACAGCAGUGGGUUAAAAAAAGAGCUACAGUACUUGUCUUCCGGAUGUAGCACAGGAGCAUUUUCAUCAGCGAUAGACACAUCAAUGUAAACAUGAAUGCUCUGCAUCUGCAACAAUCAAGUCCAAAGAAAAAGACAAAAGAAUUGUGUAGGACUGCAGCACCUCUCGGGUAAGCCAAGGGAGGACCUGUUGAGCGCGCUGACUAUCUUUAAUGCUCACCUGAAGUUUAGGAUGUUUCUUGUUAAAGAUCAUAUUUGCAGAUGCUGCUGUUUCUUUGUUACUGCCAUCACUACAUGCAGGGUAGCCUGUGCUCAAUGUAACUUCAGGAAGAGGGACUUGGAAACCUGGCCAAAUAAUCAAACCAUGUUGACUGACACAACUUGAUUCUGAAGAGCACUGGAUCUUCAUACUGUCUUGCUGGCCCCUUCGACAUUUAGGAAUUCAAGAGGAGUAAUUACUAUGAGGAUACUUCAACAGGAUCUGUUUUUUAUGGUGGAGCUUUGACAAGCAGCUCUGGUCUCCCUAGUACUCUGACUACGAAUAUCUGUUGGAACUCAUGAGCCUUCAUGAGCAGCUGUCUGAUCACUGUUGCAUGUAGUUCAGUCACUUCUGCUGUAUGAAACUUGUUGGAUGAUUGGAAUUCCAAUUUGUGAAUCAUGGUUGAAGGAAGUUUGACUCUGAGACUGAUGAUAUCAAGAUGUUCCAAAUGUAUUUCUGUCGGGACCGCAAACUUGAACAAGUUGGCAAGAGAACCUACAAUCAAGAUUACUGCAUGUGUCUUACCUUGCCAAUAUCAAUGUAUUUUAUACUCCCUGCAUUAUUAAAACUCAAAAUACAA